Molecule: long non-coding RNA, 632 nt
Filed under: Nicotiana tabacum (common tobacco)
Lineage: Eukaryota; Viridiplantae; Streptophyta; Magnoliopsida; Solanales; Solanaceae
Description: long non-coding RNA (NTAB_LNC005252)
Source: RNAcentral
ACGGCCGACGACAAUUAGAGGCUUCCCAGCAGGAUGAAUCAAGGGUGGUGGCAGCUUAACUGGUGGAGUCAGAGUUGGUGGAGAUGGUGUUAUAAUAGGUGGCUGAUCCGUUGGUGGUGCAGGCUCAAUAAUUGGUGGCUCGUAAUCAGAAGGUGGUGGCUCUACGGUUGUAGGCUCAUGAUCAGAGGGUGGAGCAGGUGGCGAGUCAACAAUUGGGGGUUCAUCAUAAGUAGCUGGUGGCGGAGGUGAUGAUCUAAUAGGUGGUGGAGGUGGCUGAGUAUAUGCUGGUGGUGGUGGUUUCCUUAUUGGUAGCUGAGUAGCUGGUGGUGGUAGUUUUGGUGGCUGAGAAAGUGGCGGUGCCCGUUGCAUUGCCGGUGGUGGUGUUGCUCGUUGCGUUGCUGGUGGCUGAGCAGCCGGUGACGGAGAUGGAGGUUUAAUAGGUGGCUUAGCAGAUGGUGGUUGCUUUGCUGGUGGCGGCGGAGGUGGAGGUGGUUGUUUUGGUGGUUGAGAUGGUGGUGGAGGCAGCAGAGGAGGUGGUGACUUAGCUGGUGGCGGCGGUGGUGACUUAGCAGGCGGCGGAGGGGAUGACUUAACCUGUGGUGGUGGUGAUGGUGAUGGCUUGUUUACCGGUG